Molecule: ribosomal RNA, 253 nt
Filed under: uncultured bacterium
Lineage: Bacteria
Description: partial 16S ribosomal RNA
Rfam family: Bacterial small subunit ribosomal RNA
Source: RNAcentral
UACGUAGGGGGCGAGCGUUGUCCGGAUUUACUGGGCGUAAAGCGCGCGCAGGCGGUUCGUUAAGUCCGGUCUGAAAGCCCCCGGCUCAACCGGGGAGGGUGGCUGGAAACUGGCGUUCUUGAGGGCGAGAGAGGAGGGUGGAAUUCCUGGUGUAGCGGUGAAAUGCGUAGAGAUCAGGAGGAACACCCGGGGCGAAGGCGGCCCUCUGGCUCGACCCUGACGCUGAGGCGCGAAAGCGUGGGGAGCGAACGGG